AUCCUCCCCCGUGCACUCCCCACAGCCGCCAGCUGCACGGGUGGGUGCGCUCAGCCUGGGAGGCCAGGGGCUGGGUCACUCAGCCUCUCUUUCUCUUCAAACACUAAGGUUGACUCUGAGGAGAUUGAAGUCAGUCCCCGCCCAGCUUCCAGCCGCCUGGAGGGCUCACCUGCUAGCCGCCAGUCCCGGACUGUUCCUUAAAGAUGUGCAGCCGAGAAUGUUGUGGAGACAUAUCUGCGCUGCUGGUUGCCUGCCGGUCACGCAGGACUGACGCGGGAAAGCGCUGCCCGGGUGGUGAGCAAGGCUGCCGGGGGCACACGGGGAUGCUGGCUCAGUGGGGUGGGAAGCCAUGUCUUUGAGUUUCCCAGGUGCUAUUAGAAUGCUGUUUUCAGGGUUUCAGUCAGCUUUUAAUGAUAAUAGUUAAUUGUAACUUUGCGUAACCAACUAAAAAC
Molecule: long non-coding RNA, 452 nt
Organism: Myotis brandtii (Brandt's bat)
Lineage: Eukaryota; Metazoa; Chordata; Mammalia; Chiroptera; Vespertilionidae
Exons: 3
Source: RefSeq, a predicted model, not a curated record